GCAUUGGUGGCUCAGUGGUAGAAUUCUCACCUUCCAUGUGGGAGACCUGAGUUUAAUUCCCAAUCAAUGGA
RNAcentral lists this transfer RNA (71 nucleotides) under Loxodonta africana (African savanna elephant). It matches the Rfam family "tRNA". From Rfam's summary of the family: Transfer RNA (tRNA) molecules are approximately 80 nucleotides in length. Lineage: Eukaryota; Metazoa; Chordata; Mammalia; Proboscidea; Elephantidae. The record is from Rfam by way of RNAcentral.